RNAcentral lists this transfer RNA (88 nucleotides) under Candidatus Moraniibacteriota bacterium. Its description in RNAcentral is "tRNA-Ser". It matches the Rfam family "tRNA". From Rfam's summary of the family: Transfer RNA (tRNA) molecules are approximately 80 nucleotides in length. Their secondary structure includes four short double-helical elements and three loops (D, anti-codon, and T loops). Further hydrogen bonds mediate the characteristic L-shaped molecular structure. tRNAs have two regions of fundamental functional importance: the anti-codon, which is responsible for specific mRNA codon recognition, and the 3' end, to which the tRNAs corresponding amino acid is attached (by aminoacyl-tRNA synthetases). tRNAs cope with the degeneracy of the genetic code in two manners: having more than one tRNA (with a specific anti-codon) for a particular amino acid; and 'wobble' base-pairing, i.e. permitting non-standard base-pairing at the 3rd anti-codon position. Lineage: Bacteria; Candidatus Moraniibacteriota. The record is from RNAcentral.
GGAAGAGUCGCAUAGUGGCCUAGUGCGCACGCUUGGAAAGCGUGUGUGGGGAAACUCACCGAGAGUUCGAAUCUCUCCUCUUCCGCCA